CGACCCUAGGUCAGGAAGGAUUAACCGUUGAGUUUAAGCAUAUCAAUAAGAGGAGGAAAAGAAACAUACAAGGAUUUUCUUAGUAACAGCGAGCAAACCGGGAACAACCUAGCCUUAGAAUCGGGUGGCUUCGUUAUCUAAAUUAUAGUCAUAAGAAUCAUCCUUAGCGGCGGACCAGGCCUAAGUCCCCUAGAAGGGGGCGCUAGAGAGGGUGACAUCCCUGUUGUGCCCAAGCCUGUCACAACACGAGACGCUGUCUACGAGUCAGGUUGUUCAGAAAUGCAGCCCAAAUUGGGUGGUGAAUUCCAUCUAAGACUAAAUACGGGAGAGAGAUCAAUAUCGAAUAAGUUCUGCGAGGGAAAGAUGAAAAGGACUUUGAAAAGAGAGUUAAAAAGUGCUUGAAAUUAUCGGGAGAAAAGAGGAUGGUUGCUGGUGAUGCACCUCGAUCAAAUAUGGAAUGAAGACGAGCUAGUCUGUCGAUCUACUUGAGGCGUGGAUCAGCAUGGAUUGGUGGGCAGACCAGGCUCUCGAUACGCUCGUGGAAUAUCGCCUCCUCGAUUGUGGCAGGGAGAGCGUGCCUUUGGAGUGAUUCGGUAUCUAUGUGCUCUGGACGCGGGCCUGUGGGCUCCCUAUUUGACCCUUCUUGAAACACAAAUCAAGGAGUCUAACAUAUGUGCGAGUCAAUGAGUGAGUAAACCCAUAAGGUGUAAGAAAGCUAAUUGGUGGGAUCCCCCUUGAGGGGUGCACCGCCGACCGAUCUUGAUCUUUUGAGAAGGGUUCGAGUGUGAUCAUACCUAUUGAGACACGAAAUAUAGUGAUCUAUGCCUGAGCAGGGCGAAGCCAUAGAAACUCUGGUGGAGACCCGUGAUACUGAUGUGUAAAUCGUUCAUCUAACUUGGGUGUAGGGGAUAAAUACCAAUCAAACCAUCUAGUAUUAGGUUUCCUCCAAGGUUUCCCUCAGGAUAGUUGGAGCUUCUGUACAAGUUCUAUCUGGUAAAGCCAAUGAUUAGGGGCCUCGGGGGUGCAACGCCCUCAACCUAUUCUCAAACUUUUAAUAGGUAAGAUGGCACGACUGCUUUGUUGAGCCACACCACAGAAUCAAGAGCUCCAAGUAGGCCAUUUUUAGUAAGCAGAACUGACUAUACGAGAUGAACUGGAAUUCGGGUUACAGUGCCAAACUGUUCACUAACCUAGAUCUCACAAAGGGUGUUGGUCGAUUAAGACAGCUGGAAAUGUGUAACAACUUACCUACCAAAUCAACUAGCCCAAAAAAUGGAUGGCACUUAAGCGCACGACCUACACCUGGCCGUCAGGGCAAGUGCAAGGCCCCAAUGAGUAGGAGGAAGCGGUGGUCUCUACAAAACCUUGGGCGUGAGCCUCUGUGGAGCUGUUGUCGGUGCAGAUCUUAGUGGUAGUAGCAAAUAUUUAAAUUAGAACUUUGAAGGCCUAAUAAAAGAAAGAUUCCAUGUGAACGACACUUGCACAUGGGUUAGUCGAUCCUAAAGGUCGGGGGUUCCCCGAUAGAUAAUGCAUUUCUCGCGUACUUCAAAAGAGAAUCGGGUUAAAAUUCCUUAAUUAGGAUAUGGCGGUCAACGACAAUGUUAGAAAGUUUUGAGAUAUCGGCAGGAGCCUCAGAAAGAGUUACCUUUUCUGCUUAAUAGCCUGGCCAUCCUAUAAUUGGCUCAGUCGGAGGUAGGGUCCAGCAGUUGGAAGAGCACUGCACGUUGCGUGGUGUCUGAUGCACUCCCAGUGGCACUUGAAAACUAGAGGAUCGAAUGCCGUCCAUGCCUGGUUGUACUCAUAACCGCAUCAGGUCUCCAUUAUGAACAUCCUCUAAUCGAUGGAACAAUGUAGACAAGUGAAGUUGGUAAAAUGGAUCUGUAACUUCGGAAAAAGGAUUGGCUUUGAAGUCCGGGAAUGGGGGUCCCAGCCUCUAACUCAUUGGUUGUCUAUGGACUGCUCGAGAUGCUCUCAUGGCGAGAGCAGGUCACCACAGCCAGUCGGGGGAUGGACUGAGAACAGUUCCUUUGGGGGCCUUCCCCGCGCAUCAAACAACCAACUCUUAACUGGUACGGUCAUAGGGAAUCUGACUGUUUAUUUAAAACAAAGCAUUGCGAUGGACCCAAUGGAUGUUCACACAAUAUGAUUUUAUCCCAAUGCUCUGAAUGUCAAACUGAAGAAAUUCAACCAAGCGUGGGUAAACAGAGUAACUAUGACUCUCUUAAGGUAUCCAAAUGCCUUGUCAUCUAAUUAGUGAUGCGCAUGAAUGGAUUAAUAAGAUUUCCACUGUCCCUAUCUAUUAUCCAUAAAAUCACCGUUAAAGGAGCUGACUUGGCAGAAAUCAACGGGGAAAGAAAACCCUGUUAAGCUUGACUCUAGUCCGACUUUGUGAAAUGACUUGAGAGGUGUAGUAUAAGUGGGAGUCGAAAGGCAAAAUUUAAAUACCACUAUUUUAAAGUUAUUUUACUUAUUUCGUGAAUCAGAAGUGGGGCAUUGCCCCUCUUUUUGGACCCAAGGAUCACUCAGCGGGAGGAUCCAAGCAGAAGACAUUGUCAGGUGAGGAGUUUUGCUGGGGUGGCACAUCUAUUAAAAGAUAACCUAGGUAUCCUAAGAUGAGCUCAACGAGAACAAAAAUCUCAUCUGGAACCAAAGGGUAAAAGCUCAUUUGAUUCUGAUUUCCAGUAAUAAUACGAACCAUUAAAGCAUAGCCUAACGAGAUGUUAGACCUUUGAAAUUCAAAGCUAGAGGUGUCAGAAAAGUUACCUCAGGGAUAAAUAGCUUUUGGCAGCCAAGAAUUCAUAGCGACGUUGCUUUUUGAUCCUUUGAUGUCGGCUUUUCCUAUUAUUAUAAAGAAGAAGUCACCAAGUGUUGGGUUGUUCACCCACCAAUAGGGAAUGUAAGCUGGAUUUAGACCAUCGUGAGAUAGGUUAGUUUUACCCUAUUGAUGACAGUGUCACAACAGUAAUUCAACCUAGUAUGAGAGGAUUCGUUGAUUCAUAUAAUUGGUCAUCACGCUUAGUUGAAAAGCCAGUGGUGUGAAGCUACCACAUGCUGGAUUAUAAUUAAACGCCUCUAAUUCAGAAUCAGGUCUAAAAGCAAUGCAUGCGCCUAUCGUCCGCUUGCUGUCCCAUACUAGGGGCUUCGUCCCCCAAUGACAUAUGUCAUUGGCAAAGCCAUCAUGGUUAAAGGGCCGCGAUAGCUGCGUUGUAGUAUAAUUUUCAUCGGCCGGUGGGUAGAAUCCUUUGUAGAUGACUUAAAUACGCGAUGGGCCAUUGUAAAUGGCAGAGUGGCCUUGCUUCCAUGAUCUACUAAGAUUCAACGCUUUGUCUCUUCGGUUCAU
Capsicum annuum is the source of this 3340-nucleotide non-coding RNA. NCBI's taxonomy places the organism in Eukaryota, Viridiplantae, Streptophyta, Magnoliopsida, Solanales, Solanaceae. The record is from Rfam.